Molecule: unclassified non-coding RNA, 335 nt
Filed under: soil metagenome
Description: partial contains 5.8S ribosomal RNA, internal transcribed spacer 2, and large subunit ribosomal RNA
Rfam family: 5.8S ribosomal RNA (bases 1-120)
Source: RNAcentral
GAUGAAGAACGUAGCGAAAUGCGAUAAGUAAUGUGAAUUGCAGAAUUCAGUGAAUCAUCGAAUCUUUGAACGCACAUUGCGCCCGCUAGUAUUCUGGCGGGCAUGCCUGUUCGAGCGUCAUUUCAACCAUCAAGCCCUUUAGCUUGUGUUGGGGACCUGCGGCUGCCGCAGCCCCCGAAAUGCAGUGGCGGGCUCGUUGUCACACCGAGUGCAGUAAUCAUUCUUCUCUCCGGGCGUGGCGGCGGGUUCCGGCCGUAAAAUCACCAAUUUAUCAAGGUUGACCUCGGAUAAGGUAGGAAUACACGCUGAACUUAAGCAUAUCAAUAAGCGGAGGA